Molecule: non-coding RNA, 82 nt
Organism: Pseudovirgaria hyperparasitica
Lineage: Eukaryota; Fungi; Ascomycota; Dothideomycetes; Acrospermales; Acrospermaceae
Source: the annotation of a RefSeq genome assembly
GGUGGCUUAGCGCAAUGGUAGCGCGUCAGUUUUCGGUACAGCUGUUCACUGAAGGUUGCGGGUUCGAUCCCCGUGGUCAUCU